UGAUCGAUACAGGCCAGUGCAGAAAGUAGAAGAUUCCAGCUUGAACGAGAAAAUUGAUGCUCUCACCUCUUUAGUUAGAGGACUUGCUGUCUCUAAAACUCAACACGUUCAAUGUGGAAUUUGCUUUGAAAAUAAUCAUCAUACUGAUGCCUGUCCAUCUUUGCAGGAUAAUAAUACUGAGCAAGCGUGCAUGGGAUCCGCUGACGAGCAAGAGAUGA
Molecule: long non-coding RNA, 218 nt
Filed under: Salvia miltiorrhiza (redroot sage)
Lineage: Eukaryota; Viridiplantae; Streptophyta; Magnoliopsida; Lamiales; Lamiaceae
Description: long non-coding RNA (SMIL_LNC002946)
Source: RNAcentral